RNAcentral lists this ribosomal RNA (453 nucleotides) under uncultured bacterium. RNAcentral describes it as "bacterial SSU rRNA". It matches the Rfam family "Bacterial small subunit ribosomal RNA", at positions 34 to 507 of the family's 1533-position model. The record is from RNAcentral.
CGCUGGCGGCGUGCCUAACACAUGCAAGUCGAACGGAGUUGACCUUCGGGUUAACUUAGUGGCGAACGGGUGAGUAACGCGUGAGAAACCUGCCUUUCAGUGGGGGACAACAGUUGGAAACGACUGCUAAUACCGCAUAAUGUCAUUUGGGGGCAUCCCUGAAUGACCAAAGAUUUAUUGCUGAAAGAUGGUCUCGCGUCUGAUUAGCUAGAUGGCGGGGUAACGGCCCACCAUGGCGACGAUCAGUAGCCGGUCUGAGAGGAUGAACGGCCACAUUGGGACUGAGAUACGGCCCAGACUCCUACGGGAGGCAGCAGUGGGGAAUAUUGGGCAAUGGGCGAAAGCCUGACCCAGCAACGCCGCGUGAAGGAAGAAGGCCUUCGGGUUGUAAACUUCGUUUACCAGGGACGAAAUUUGACGGUACCUGGAGAAAAAGCAACGGCUAACUACGUG